RNAcentral lists this ribosomal RNA (253 nucleotides) under uncultured bacterium. RNAcentral's name for it is "partial 16S ribosomal RNA". It matches the Rfam family "Bacterial small subunit ribosomal RNA", at positions 524 to 776 of the family's 1533-position model. The record is from RNAcentral.
UACGUAGGUGGCUAGCGUUGUCCGGAUUUACUGGGCGUAAAGAGCGCGCAGGCGGUCGUUCAAGUCGAGGGUGAAAGCCCCCGGCUCAACUGGGGAGGGUCACUCGAUACUGAUCGACUCGAAGGCAGGAGAGGGAAGCGGAAUUCCCGGUGUAGUGGUGAAAUGCGCAGAUAUCAGGAAGAACACCCGUGGCGAAGGCGGUUCUCUGGGACGGUACUGACGCUGAGACGCGAAAGCGUGGGGAGCGAACAGG